This 505-nucleotide ribosomal RNA is filed under the name uncultured bacterium. RNAcentral's name for it is "bacterial SSU rRNA". It matches the Rfam family "Bacterial small subunit ribosomal RNA", at positions 28 to 517 of the family's 1533-position model. The record is from RNAcentral.
GAUGAACGCUAGCUACAGGCUUAACACAUGCAAGUCGAGGGGAAACGAUAUUGGAAGCUUGCUUCCGAUAGGCGUCGACCGGCGCACGGGUGAGUAACGCGUAUCCAACCUGCCCAUCACUUGGGAAUAACCUUGCGAAAGUAAGACUAAUGCCCAAUGACAUUUAUAGAAGGCAUCUGAAAUGAAUUAAAGAUUUAUCGGUGAUGGAUGGGGAUGCGUCUGAUUAGCUUGUUGGCGGGGUAACGGCCCACCAAGGCAACGAUCAGUAGGGGUUCUGAGAGGAAGGUCCCCCCACAUUGGAACUGAGACACGGUCCAAACUCCUACGGGAGCAGCAGUGAGGAAUAUUGGUCAAUGGGCGAGAGCCUGAACCAGCCAAGUAGCGUGCAGGAAGACGGCCCUAUGGGUUGUAAACUGCUUUUANAGGGGAAUAAAGUGAGAGUCGUGACUCUUUUUGCAUGUACCUUAUGAAUUAAGGACCGGCUAAAUUCCCGUGCCAGCAGCCG